RNAcentral lists this transfer RNA (361 nucleotides) under uncultured Microcystis sp. RNAcentral describes it as "partial 16S-23S ribosomal RNA intergenic spacer". The stretch from base 136 to 209 matches the Rfam family "tRNA". The record is from RNAcentral. Lineage: Bacteria; Bacillati; Cyanobacteriota; Cyanophyceae; Chroococcales; Microcystaceae.
AAAGGGAGACCUAAUUCAGGUAAAAGACGAAAAAAAAGUAGUCGCUACCAAGAAUCAAUCCCAAAAGGUCGGAGCGAGGCGAAAUUGGCUUUCAAACUAGGUUCUGGGUUCAAACAAGACCUGAAUCAGGAACAAGGGCUAUUAGCUCAGGUGGUUAGAGCGCACCCCUGAUAAGGGUGAGGUCCCUGGUUCGAGUCCAGGAUGGCCCACCUGCACAGGUGGCAAAAACAAGAGAAGCGAGGAAUCAGCACCUUAUCUUACUUAUAUAGUAAGAGAGAAUGCUGGCUCCGAGUAAAGAGUCCAGAGGAACCUUGAAAACUGCAUAGAGCUAGGUGAAAAAGCCAAAAAAGAAGACCGCAAG